Non-coding RNA from Armillaria borealis, 96 nucleotides. The record is from the annotation of a GenBank genome assembly. Lineage: Eukaryota; Fungi; Basidiomycota; Agaricomycetes; Agaricales; Physalacriaceae.
AGCAGCAUGGCGCAGUGGUAGCGCGCGGGGCCCAUAUGAGCCUUGCGUAUAGAAUCAUUAACCCCGAGGUCACUUGAUCGAAACAAGUUGCUGCUA